RNAcentral lists this long non-coding RNA (1832 nucleotides) under Musa acuminata (dwarf banana). RNAcentral's name for it is "long non-coding RNA (MACU_LNC011369)". The record is from RNAcentral. Lineage: Eukaryota; Viridiplantae; Streptophyta; Magnoliopsida; Zingiberales; Musaceae.
GGUUAACUUAUCAUCUCACUACCGGGGUUUUGUCAACUGCUUGUCCGUAUGCUUGUUUCUGGAUUUGGAACUAGCUUCUGUACUUUCUGACUGGAACAAGACUGGAAUUGCUAUCAGCCUAGUAACUACUAGUGGAAUUAGUGGAAUCCCGGCCAAGUAACUGCAAAUAGGUACUCGAAAUGAUCUAAUGGAAAUAGGUAAUUGAACAGGACUACUUUUAUUCAACGAACCCCGCGGAGACCUCCGACUCAAAGGUCAAAAGCAGAGGCAUUUUCUAGGUAUGGAAUUAGAACAAGCUUAGGCGCUAAGAGAAGAGGUUAGCAAACAAAGUCUCAGAAGCAUACAUAUUUAAUUAGGACUUCAUAAUAACAAUAACUCAUUUAUUACUUGUUAUAUGUUUGUGGAUCAGAGGCUGUGGAGGCAGUAUCAAAAAGUAAGGAAGCAGCGCCCUAGGAAAGUAUAGUUUUGGUGUUGGCUAAAGUAAGGGUAGUUAGAGUGCCGGGCUUACUGGUUUCUUCAUAGCCUUCUACUUACUAGUGGAAUGAUUUGUAUUCCUUGUUUCAAUUCUUUGAUUUACAGGGUUCUAUACCAAGUGCAGGAAGUGCUAUGUCUUUACUUAUAGAUCCUUCCCAGGUGCUCGAUACGAAAGAGUCCAUUACUACUGUUUUGGUGCUCCAUACGAAAGAGUCAAUUGAAGUGAAGGAGCUGUGGGAGUCGAGGUAGGCCAGGUCAGAAACGGAAUCAGGGUUGACUGUUCCAACAAGUAGGCAAGUAGUCCUGGGUGAAGUCUUGUUGGUACUGCUUUCAGUCUGCCUGUGCCUAGUGUCUUGGCUGUUGCCUAGGAGCCGAAUUAAGGUAGAAGAGAUGCUCUAGUCCAGAGGAUAGGUAGGCAAGAAAGUCAUAAAGAGAGCUCGGGUUGGUUAAGAGAGGAGCCUAGCCUAAUUCUUUUAUUAGUUUACAGCAGCAAUCGGGUAUCUCGGGUUCAAGUAAGGUUAUGAAGGUCAGAUCAUAAAGUACAGAAGCCUUCGUCAGGAUAGAUAGAAUCCAAAGCUGUUCGAAGGGAAGCAGCGAGGUAAGCGGGAAGGAAAGGCUAUGAAGCGGGAAGGGCCAAGCAACUCCUAAUGUUGCGCGGCAGGAGCCUGUUGCCUGUUAGUGCAGUGUAAUGCCAGAAAGGGAAGCGGGAAGGGAAAGGGGAAAGGUUAACUCAGGACUCAAAGUAGGCUUGUCCAGUUGCUUGGCCAACCAAAGGACUAUAGUUCAAUCCGGUGUGAAAGCCCUAUUUCUCUAAGUACUGGGUUGGAUAGUUUCAUCCCCUUGACCUGGACCGGAUGCAGUUUCUUCUGCUGAAAGGACUGUUAGCGGUGCUUUUGUUGACGACUCGAGAAUAAGCAGUUAGAGGUUUGCAAGGGAAGCAGUUAGAGGUUUGCAAGGGAGAAUCAUAAAGAGGUGUUACCUGUUGCCAUAGGUAUUGUUUAAAGAGGUCAGAGAUCUUAGUUGGCAUGAGGAAGGUAGGCGGAGAGAUCUUAGUUGGCAUGAGGGAGGUAGGCGGGCAGUUCUAUAUAACUAUUAUAAAGAUAAUAUAUCAUUUCUAUUGGUUUCUUCUAUUGAGUCGGUAUAUGGUAGCGGCAGGAGUGUUCCCUGUAAAUAAGUAGAUUGAUUUACAGCUCGAUAAGCAAAGGGUUAUUCAUCCAGCACUGUCCACGACCCAUACUUUUGGUCUGCGUUAUUGCAGUAAGUAAACUAGUGAGUGAAAUACCUUCUUAUCGGAUGUUCGCCCUCCGUAAGUAAUAAAUCCUAUGUCCGCGGAUUCUUGCAGGUAAGUAGCUUGGCCC